CUGCCUUCUGGUUGUGUUCAACACCAGAGCAGCUACAGCAGGAAGACAUGCAAAUAGGGCUUCUCUGUGCCCUUGAAAACCAGCCCUGCCCUGACCCUGCAGACCUGGAAGAGGAGCCCAGGCCUGGAUUCCCAGGUCUUCACACUCAGUGAUUACCACUGUCCACAGACCAUUCACCAUGGACUUGGGGAUCAGCUGGAUUUUCCUUGUCUUUCUUUUAAAAGGUGUCCAGUGUGAUGUGCAGCUUGUGGAGUCGGGAGGAGGCUUGGUGCAGCCUGGAAAGUCCCUGCAACUCUCCUGUGCAGCCUCUGGAUUCACCUUCAGUGACUAUGGCAUGCACUGGGUCCGCCAGGCUCCAGGGAAGGGGCUGGAGUGGGUUGCCGCUAUUAGUAGCAGUGGAGGUACAACCUACUAUGCCGACGCCGUGAAGGGCCGAUUCACCAUCUCCAGAGACAAUGCCAAGAACUCCCUGUACCUGCAAAUGAACAGUCUGAAGUCUGAGGACACGGCCACAUAUUACUGUGCAAGAGACACAGUGAGUGAAUAUAACUGA
Meriones unguiculatus (Mongolian gerbil) is the source of this 553-nucleotide non-coding RNA. The record is from the annotation of a RefSeq genome assembly. Lineage: Eukaryota; Metazoa; Chordata; Mammalia; Rodentia; Muridae.